Molecule: non-coding RNA, 1821 nt
Organism: Lactuca sativa (garden lettuce)
Lineage: Eukaryota; Viridiplantae; Streptophyta; Magnoliopsida; Asterales; Asteraceae
Source: RefSeq, a predicted model, not a curated record
UGAUCCAAACCCUACCCAAUUAAUUAUGACAUGUAAACAGAUUUAUUUAAUCUCAAGCUUGUAUGGAGUUAACAAGUUAGGGUUUAGACAUUAUAGAUGUAUUGUGUCAUGUUGAGUUGAAACACUAAAAAUGUUGAAAGAGUCGGAUUCAGGAAGACAAAUAUAUCAGUUAGGUUUAGAGGACAUAGUGGAAAUAAUAGGAGUUAAUAAAUCGAAGCUAGGUCAUGAGGAAGGAGUGGCUAAGUGGGUUCAUGGAGUAUGUGAGAAAAAUGAUAAAAAGAAAAAUAAAGUAUUGACCUAGGUGGCUAAAUCCUUUUCAUAUUACAAAACGAUUCAACCUAAACUUUUUUCUUUUAUGCCAGGUUUAUGUUUUGGUUUUUGAGCUACUCCAUCUUUUAGUCAGUUAUUUUAUUUUGACAUAAUGAACUCAUAUGUAAUUUUGGACGAACCUUCUCUGUGAAAAAAGAAACUAAUUUGGGGCUUAUUAGAUUGUUUUUUUUUUGUUCAUAAUUGGCAGAUUUGAAGAUGCACAUCAACUGCUUGAUGAAAUGCCUAAAAGAACUAGUAAGAUUAUUUCUACUCCAUGAUUGACUACACAGGCUUCUUACACACUUUCAUAUUACUUUUUGAUAAUGAUGAUAAAAAUAAACAAGAUUAAAUAAAUUGUAGUUGUAUUACAAAUAGCAUGGCUUACCAAGUUUCGAGUGUGAAAGGUAGAUCACCAACAACUUUAACAAUUAAAUUACUAGAAAGUAUUCAGGUAAGAACAUCUUCUAUUUGUGUGGCUGCCCUUUCGUUUCAGGUAUCUCUCUUGAUUCUCCCUCUUGCAUUUCUUCAAUUUUUCUUUUUAGGAAGGAAGAUGGUUAAUGGUUAAUGGGUUGUUUUGCUUCCUACAAUUCAUCGUUUUGAAGGACCAAAACUGAUGCGUUGUGUUUCUGUUAGCUUUUUGGGCAAAAUGGUUUAUUGAAGGGGUUGUGGUAGAAAACUCCCUGAUAUCUCUUUCUUUUCCAACCUACAAACAAGUGCUUUCAUGCUCCAGCACAUAUGAAAGAAAGGUCAUUUUUCAAGUAAUAAUUACGAAUUUACCCUUUUCAUCCACACACCAAAUUUUGAAAACAAUGGUUUCAGCUCUAAAGAUUUGUUAAAUAUCUACCCUCAAAUGCAAACUCUUUUACCACAAAAGAAAAUUGAUAAAAGAAAUCCAUGAAACAAAGUGAGCAUCAAAUUUGAUGAUGAUUCACAUACAUUUAUGCUCUUAAGUAUUGGAAACUUCGAAAAGCAUAUCAAAUAUCAUUUUAUUACACUUUCUUGCUAAAGUAUUAAAACUGAUAUUUUGUGGUUACCUUAUUGAUUACAUGCUUAUAUAGGUGGUUAUUUGUUUCUCUUUGACAACAAGGUCCUGAGGGUUUUUUUGUAAAGAUGGUCAUAGUUGGAGGAGAAAAAAAGACGAAAAAGCCCUUGGAUAGGCACAUGAGGACGUAAAAGUUGAAAAUGUUGAAGGUUUGAAUUGUUACUAUGCACAUGGUGAACAUAAUCAGAAUCAUUUUUUUGAGUUCAAUAACAUAAGAAGGAAGUUAUUUGUCAUCAUUAUGAGCAAUGGUACAAACAGAGCUUUCACGCUUUAAAAAAAUGACUCUAGAUUCAUUUUAUUUGUGAUUAGGAUUCGAAUCACAUGCAAAAAUUAGAGUUAUUUUUAUUGCUCUUCUUUGAAUGUACAUAUCCAUCUAAAACUCUAAAACCUAAGACCCUCCACCAAUGUUUAUCCUCCUAUAACAAGCUUACAGCUAUGGACAAAAAAAUGAAGCAUUGUAGUUAUCUGAA